UCUCUAGUAUCACACAAUGAAAAGUUCUCUCUUGUUGGCACACAAAAUUAUGGUCAUUUUAUGGUUGUCGCACAAACCAGGUAAGACAGGAUAAGAGCCAGAGUUUGUUGCAAUUCAAACCAUUUUAAAUUUCAAUUUAUCUUCAACUUUUUCUCACUCUUAUCUGACUUAAAGAGAGACUUAUAAGAGAAAAUUGGGUAUAAAAAACCAUCAGAAAGACUUCCUUUUCUUACACACAAUAGGCCCC
This 247-nucleotide long non-coding RNA is filed under the name Elaeis guineensis (African oil palm). Its description in RNAcentral is "long non-coding RNA (EGUI_LNC072571)". Lineage: Eukaryota; Viridiplantae; Streptophyta; Magnoliopsida; Arecales; Arecaceae. The record is from RNAcentral.